This 465-nucleotide ribosomal RNA is filed under the name Vreelandella stevensii. RNAcentral describes it as "partial 16S ribosomal RNA". It matches the Rfam family "Bacterial small subunit ribosomal RNA", at positions 338 to 795 of the family's 1533-position model. The record is from RNAcentral. Lineage: Bacteria; Pseudomonadati; Pseudomonadota; Gammaproteobacteria; Oceanospirillales; Halomonadaceae.
CCUACGGGUGGCAGCAGUGGGGAAUAUUGGACAAUGGGCGAAAGCCUGAUCCAGCCAUGCCGCGUGUGUGAAGAAGGCCUUCGGGUUGUAAAGCACUUUCAGUGGGGAAGAAAGCCUUGGGGCUAAUACCCUCGAGGAAGGACAUCACCCACAGAAGAAGCACCGGCUAACUCCGUGCCAGCAGCCGCGGUAAUACGGAGGGUGCGAGCGUUAAUCGGAAUUACUGGGCGUAAAGCGCGCGUAGGCGGUCUGAUAAGCCGGUUGUGAAAGCCCCGGGCUCAACCUGGGAACGGCAUCCGGAACUGUCAGGCUAGAGUGCAGGAGAGGAAGGUAGAAUUCCCGGUGUAGCGGUGAAAUGCGUAGAGAUCGGGAGGAAUACCAGUGGCGAAGGCGGCCUUCUGGACUGACACUGACGCUGAGGUGCGAAAGCGUGGGUAGCAAACAGGAUUAAAUACCCUAGUAGUC